Molecule: ribosomal RNA, 40 nt
Filed under: Polyozellus mucidulus
Lineage: Eukaryota; Fungi; Basidiomycota; Agaricomycetes; Thelephorales; Thelephoraceae
Description: partial 28S ribosomal RNA
Source: RNAcentral
UUGMCCUCAAAUCAGGUAGGAUUACCCGCUGAACUUAAGC